UGCAGGAUUCUGUUUCCUUGCACCUUUAGGAAGCUGCAGAAUGUUUACCUGAGUCACUGCCCUUCGAGGUGGGAAAAGUUGAGUCUCCAUUGAAGAGCAUCUGUCCCAAGGCCUGGAGGAAGAGAGCCAAGACUGUAGCUUUCUGUCAAAAAGAAGAAAGGGAACAAAAGGCUUGUUCUGACCCACAGCUUGGACAGAUUUGGCUCCAGGACCCUCGAGGGAGAUCCAGUCCCACCCACAGGAGUUGGAAGAGGACAGCCCGAGAGACCUUCGCCAAUACCACGGUUGACCAGGGCAAACCAGGAGAGGGCGCCGGUCCUCACAUGGAGAAGAAUGACAGAUAAUUGAUUUUGGUCCAUGAGUGGUCUAGCCAUCUCCAUGAACAAGAACCAGCUCUCCCGCUGAUUUUGUGACUUUGGCUAACUUACCUAUCCAGCAUCUGUUUUUCUCUCAUCAAUAGAAAUGGAAUCAAUAUUUACCUUGGAGGCUUGCUGGGAGAAUUGCCUCAAGUGAUGAAUGAGAGAUCCAGGUAAGGGCAGUAAAAGAGUUGUUGAUGUCCAGCGUUUGUUCCAUUGAUUUCUUUGGGGACAGCAUUUAGAACGUCUGUGGUCUCUCUUUCUUGAAAGAGCAUCUUUGUUUUCUAUUGGGAAAGCAGCCUUCCUUUCUCUGCUCCUAUUGUUAGGCAGAGUUGCCCAUGUCUC
This 701-nucleotide long non-coding RNA is filed under the name Ictidomys tridecemlineatus (thirteen-lined ground squirrel). RNAcentral describes it as "lncRNA (ENSSTOG00000029896.1)". The record is from RNAcentral. Lineage: Eukaryota; Metazoa; Chordata; Mammalia; Rodentia; Sciuridae.